UUGAACGCUGGCGGCAUGCCUUACACAUGCAAGUCGAACGGCAGCACGGGUGCUUGCCCCUGGUGGCGAGUGGCGAACGGGUGAGUAAUACAUCGGAACAUGUCCUGUAGUGGGGGAUAGCCCGGCGAAAGCCGGAUUAAUACCGCAUACGAUCUACGGAUGAAAGCGGGGGACCUUCGGGCCUCGCGCUAUAGGGUUGGCCGAUGGCUGAUUAGCUAGUUGGUGGGGUAAAGGCCUACCAAGGCGACGAUCAGUAGCUGGUCUGAGAGGACGACCAGCCACACUGGGACUGAGACACGGCCCAGACUCCUACGGGAGGCAGCAGUGGGGAAUUUUGGACAAUGGGCGAAAGCCUGAUCCAGCAAUGCCGCGUGUGUGAAGAAGGCCUUCGGGUUGUAAAGCACUUUUGUCCGGAAAGAAAUCCUUGGCUCUAAUACAGUCGGGGGAUGACGGUACCGGAAGAAUAAGCACCGGCUAACUACGUG
RNAcentral lists this ribosomal RNA (485 nucleotides) under uncultured bacterium. RNAcentral's name for it is "partial 16S ribosomal RNA". It matches the Rfam family "Bacterial small subunit ribosomal RNA", at positions 30 to 507 of the family's 1533-position model. The record is from RNAcentral.